This 251-nucleotide ribosomal RNA is filed under the name uncultured bacterium. RNAcentral describes it as "partial 16S ribosomal RNA". It matches the Rfam family "Bacterial small subunit ribosomal RNA", at positions 333 to 576 of the family's 1533-position model. The record is from RNAcentral.
UGAGCCCUACGGGGCGCAGCAGUAGGGAAUCUUCCACAAUGGGCGAAAGCCUGAUGGAGCAACGCCGCGUGGGUGAAGAAGGUCUUCGGAUCGUACAACCCUGUUGUUAGAGAAGAAAGUGCGUGUGAGUAACUGUUCACGUUUCGACGGUAUCUAACCAGAAAGCCACGGCUAACUACGUGCCAGCAGCUGCGGUAAUACGUAGGUGGCAAGCGUUAUCCGGAUUUAUUGGUCGUAAAGGGUAUGCAGUC